Molecule: small RNA, 1043 nt
Filed under: uncultured Pelagibacterales bacterium
Lineage: Bacteria; Pseudomonadati; Pseudomonadota; Alphaproteobacteria; Candidatus Pelagibacterales
Description: bacterial SSU rRNA
Rfam family: Bacterial small subunit ribosomal RNA (bases 1-658)
Source: RNAcentral
CACCGCCUGGGGAGUACGACCGCAAGGUUAAAACUCAAAUGAAUUGACGGGGACCCGCACAAGUAGUGGAGCAUGUGGUUUAAUUCGAAGAUACGCGCAGAACCUUACCAACACUUGACAUGUUCGUCGCGACUUUAAGAGAUUAAAGUUUUCGGUUCGGCCGGACGAAACACAGGUGCUGCAUGGCUGUCGUCAGCUCGUGUCGUGAGAUGUUGGGUUAAGUCCCGCAACGAGCGCAACCCUCACUUUUAGUUGCCAUCAUUUAGUUGGGCACUCUGAAAGAACUGCCAGUGAUAAGCUGGAGGAAGGUGGGGAUGACGUCAAGUCCUCAUGGCCCUUACGUGUUGGGCUACACACGUGCUACAAUGGUAUUUACAACAGGAAGCAAAACGGCGACGUUAAGCAAAUCCUAAAAAGAUACCUCAGUUCGGAUUGCACUCUGCAACUCGAGUGCAUGAAGCUGGAAUUACUAGUAAUCGUGGAUCAGCGUGCCACGGUGAAUGCGUUCCCGGGUCUUGUACACACCGCCCGUCACACCAUGGGAGUUGGUUCUACCUUAAGGCAAGGUUUUAAACCCUUGACCACGGUAUAGUCAGCGACUGGGGUGAAGUCGUAACAAGGUAGCCGUAGGGGAACCUGCGGCUGGAUUACCUCCUUUCUAAGGAUGAGUAAAAUUAUUUUUACUCUAAAUAAUAAACAGGUUAAUGUUGACCGUCCUCAUUUCUCUUCUUAAAACAGUGUUUCUCUUGCAUGGGGGCCGGUAGCUCAGUUGGUUAGAGCACACCCUUGAUAAGGGUGGGGUCGAAAGUUCGAGUCUUUCUCGGCCCACCAAUUAAGACUAUGGGGGAUUAGCUCAGCUGGGAGAGCGCCUGAUUUGCAUUCAGGAGGUCAGCGGUUCGAUCCCGCUAUCCUCCACCAGAAACACUUAGUUAUAAAAAUUGUGAAUAUAAUAAUAAUUAAUAUCAAUAUCUAUAUCCGAACAUUAGUAAUGUUAUUAGCUAAUGUUCAAAUAAAAAUUUGAUUCAACACAGAAUUUUUUUCUG